This 224-nucleotide long non-coding RNA is filed under the name Anser brachyrhynchus (Pink-footed goose). Its description in RNAcentral is "lncRNA (ENSABRG00000023097.1)". The record is from RNAcentral. Lineage: Eukaryota; Metazoa; Chordata; Aves; Anseriformes; Anatidae.
UGAGAAACUGCGCAGCAAGCUGCAACGUGCACCCAGCAAGGACACACUCUUGGAGGCUGAGCCUAUCCAUGUCUGCACAGCACCCAGUGUGAGCUCCCUGCCGAGCAGAAAGCUGCUGUGCCCUGCAGGAUCGGGACACGGGUUGUGGUCACACAGGAUUGCAGUGAGCCCAACUGCCCCUCGUCCCUGCAUGCACAAACCCAGGACUAAUAAACCCUGACUGC